RNAcentral lists this ribosomal RNA (1293 nucleotides) under Levilactobacillus brevis. Its description in RNAcentral is "bacterial SSU rRNA". It matches the Rfam family "Bacterial small subunit ribosomal RNA", at positions 34 to 1304 of the family's 1533-position model. The record is from RNAcentral. Lineage: Bacteria; Bacillati; Bacillota; Bacilli; Lactobacillales; Lactobacillaceae.
CGCCCAAUGCGGAUGCUAUACAUGCAAGUCGAACGAGCUUCCGUUGAAUGACGUGCUUGCACUGAUUUCAACAAUGAAGCGAGUGGCGAACUGGUGAGUAACACGUGGGAAAUCUGCCCAGAAGCAGGGGAUAACACUUGGAAACAGGUGCUAAUACCGUAUAACAACAAAAUCCGCAUGGAUUUUGUUUGAAAGGUGGCUUCGGCUAUCACUUCUGGAUGAUCCCGCGGCGUAUUAGUUAGUUGGUGAGGUAAAGGCCCACCAAGACGAUGAUACGUAGCCGACCUGAGAGGGUAAUCGGCCACAUUGGGACUGAGACACGGCCCAAACUCCUACGGGAGGCAGCAGUAGGGAAUCUUCCACAAUGGACGAAAGUCUGAUGGAGCAAUGCCGCGUGAGUGAAGAAGGGUUUCGGCUCGUAAAACUCUGUUGUUAAAGAAGAACACCUUUGAGAGUAACUGUUCAAGGGUUGACGGUAUUUAACCAGAAAGCCACGGCUAACUACGUGCCAGCAGCCGCGGUAAUACGUAGGUGGCAAGCGUUGUCCGGAUUUAUUGGGCGUAAAGCGAGCGCAGGCGGUUUUUUAAGUCUGAUGUGAAAGCCUUCGGCUUAACCGGAGAAGUGCAUCGGAAACUGGGAGACUUGAGUGCAGAAGAGGACAGUGGAACUCCAUGUGUAGCGGUGGAAUGCGUAGAUAUAUGGAAGAACACCAGUGGCGAAGGCGGCUGUCUAGUCUGUAACUGACGCUGAGGCUCGAAAGCAUGGGUAGCGAACAGGAUUAGAUACCCUGGUAGUCCAUGCCGUAAACGAUGAGUGCUAAGUGUUGGAGGGUUUCCGCCCUUCAGUGCUGCAGCUAACGCAUUAAGCACUCCGCCUGGGGAGUACGACCGCAAGGUUGAAACUCAAAGGAAUUGACGGGGGCCCGCACAAGCGGUGGAGCAUGUGGUUUAAUUCGAAGCUACGCGAAGAACCUUACCAGGUCUUGACAUCUUUCUGCCAAUUCUUAGAGAUAAGACGUUCCCUUCGGGGACAGAAUGACAGGUGGUGCAUGGUUGUCGUCAGCUCGUGUCUGAGAAUGUUGGGUUAAGUUCCCGCACGAGCGCACCUUAUUUAUCAGUUGCAGCAUUCAGUGGGCACUCUGGUGAGAACUGCCGGUGACAACCGAGAGGUGGGAUGACGUCAAUCAUCAUGCCCUUAUGGACUGGGCUACACACGUGUCUCAAUGACGUACAGGAUUCGGAAGUCUGAGCUUAGCCUAUUCUCUUCAGGCGCUCUCCAGAUCGCGAAUAUAGC